This is a non-coding RNA of Danio rerio (zebrafish), 1050 nucleotides long. The record is from Ensembl. Lineage: Eukaryota; Metazoa; Chordata; Actinopteri; Cypriniformes; Danionidae.
AAACGGAGCAACGACACGACACCUGACCGUCAACAGCACUUCUCUCAUGCGGCAGUUUUCACUAAUUUCAGUGCUCUGUGGUUUCAGAAGUGACAAAAUUACCCCUACAACAGAAGAGAAGAGCCAAGAUGAAGGGAGCUAAUCACUGAGCUGGAGGAAACACAGAUUUUGGAUCGUCCUCCACUCACUCUACCACUUUGUUUUUCCUUGCCAGACUUCAUUCAAGGAUAAGAAAGAAGCCUGCUACAAGAGAAACAGCGGAAGGGAGCCUCCAAGACAUUUUUAUUAGGAUCUGCUAAUCAUGAGGGGGCAGACAAAAGAACCUGCAUUUUCCUUCAGCUUAAUAUCAGGGGUCGCCACAGCGUAAGGAACUGGAUAUUACUUUGGCAUAUGUUUUACACAGCGGAUGGCCUUCCAGCUGCAACCCAGCACAGUGAAACACCCAUACACUCUCGUAUUCACAGACACUUCUACACUAUAUUCAAAUUUACCUAUAGCACAAGUGUUUGGACUGUGGUGGAAACCCACACCAAAACAGGGAGAACAUGCAAACUCCACACAGAAACGCCAGCAGACCCAACCGGGACUCAUACCAGCAACCUUUUUGCUGUGAGGUGACAGUCUGAGCCACUGGGCUGCCCCAGUGUAGUUAUUAAUAACCUGCAGAUGUUUUACUGUUUGAUUUUGUAAUAAUAAUGCACAUUUAGAUUUAUUGUAAUAUGUAUUUUAAAAUUUAUUCACAAUGUAAUUUAUUUUUAUGUUAUUUAUAAUAACGUUAAAUGUCAUAAGAAAGUUAUAAUUUAAUAUAAUAUUAUAAUAAAUAAUUAUAAUAAUGUUAAAAUAUAAAUAAUACAAAUUUAUUUAUAAUGUUUUUAAGUUUAUUUUUUUAAUGAGAAGUCUCAAAGUCUUCAAAGUUGUCUUUAUUAUAGAAAACUCAUUGUUGAAUGGCUACCACUUUACAAUAAGGUUGUAUGUAUUAGUUAAUGUAUUUACUAACAUAUUAAACAAUACAUUUAUUACAGUAUUCAUCUUUGCUAAUGUUGGUAAAUG